UAAGGCCAGUUUCCCCCAAUACUGGGUACAUUACCCCCCCUGUUGGAAAGGCCAGUUUCCCCAAUACUGGGUACAUUAUCCCUCCUGUUGGUAAGGCCAGUUUCCCCCAAUACUGGGUACAUUACCCCCGUUGCUAAGGCCAGUUUCCCCCAAUACUGGGUACAUCACCGCCGUUGCUAAGGCCAGUUUCCCCCAAUACUGGGUACAUUAUCCCCCCUGUUGGUAAGGCCAAUUUCCCCCAAUACUGGGUACAUUAUCCCCCCUGUUGCUAAGGCCAGUUUCCCCCAAUACUGGGUACAUUAUCCCCUGUUGCUAAGGCCAGUUUCCCCCAAUACUGGGUACAUUAUCCCCCCUGUUGCUAAGGCCAGUUUACCCCAAUACUGGGUACAUUACCCCCGUUGCUAAGGCCAGUUCCCCCAAUACUGGGUACAUCACCCCCGUUGCUAAGGCAAGUUUCCCCCAAUACUGGGUACAUUAUCCCCCCUGUUGGUAAGGCCAAUUUCCCCCAAUACUGGGUAAAUUAUCCCCCCUGUUGCUAAGGCCAGUUUCCCCCAAUACUGGGUACAUUAUCCCCUGUUGCUAAGGCCAGUUUCCCCCAAUACUGGGUACAUUAUCCCCCCUGUUGCUAAGGCCAGUUCCUCCAUAUACUAGGUAAAUACCCUCCCUGUUGCUAAGGCCAGUUUCCCCCAAUACUGGGUACAUUACGCCAGUUGCUAAGGCCAGUUUCCCCCAAUACUGGGUACAUUACUCCCUGUUGCUAAGGCCAAUUUCCCCCAAUACUGGGUACAUUAUCCCCCCUUUUGCUAAGGCCAGUUUCCCCCAAUACUGGGUACCUUACUCCCUGUUGCUAAGGCCAGUUUCCCCCAAUACUGGGUACAUUACCCCCGUUGCUAAGGCCAGUUUCCCCCAAUACUGGGUACAUUAUCCCCCCUGUUGCUAAGGCCAGUUUCCCCCAAUAGUGGGUACAUUACCCCCUGUUGCUAAGGCCAGUUUCCCCCAAUACUCCAAUACUGGGUACAUUACCCCAGUUGCUAAGGCCAGUUUCCCCCAAUACUGGGUACAUUAUCCCCCCUGUUGCUAAGGCCAGUUUCCCCCAAUACUGGGUUCAUUACCCCCUGUUGGUAAGGCCAGUUUCCCCCAAUACUGGGUACAUUACCCCCGUUGCUAAGGCCAGUUUCCCCCAAUACUGGGUACAUUAUCUCCCCUGUUGGUAAGGCCAGUUUCCCCCAAUACUGGGUACAUUAUCCCCCCUGUUGCUAAGGCCAGUUUCCCCCAAUACUGGGUACAUAAUCCCCUGUUGCUAAGGCCAGUUUCCCCCAAUACUGGGUACAUUAUCCCCCCUGUUGCUAAGGCCAGUUUCCCCCAAUACUGGGUACAUUAUCCCCUGUUGCUAAGGCCAGUUUCCCCCAAUACUGGGUACAUUAUCCCCCCUGUUGCUAAGGCCAGUUCCUCCAUAUACUAGGUAAAUACCCUCCCUGUUGCUAAGGCCAGUUUCCCCCAAUACUGGGUACAUUACGCCAGUUGCUAAGGCCAGUUUCCCCCAAUACUGGGUAC
RNAcentral lists this long non-coding RNA (1554 nucleotides) under Pelobates cultripes (western spadefoot toad). The record is from RNAcentral. Lineage: Eukaryota; Metazoa; Chordata; Amphibia; Anura; Pelobatidae.